Molecule: ribosomal RNA, 450 nt
Filed under: uncultured bacterium
Lineage: Bacteria
Description: bacterial SSU rRNA
Rfam family: Bacterial small subunit ribosomal RNA
Source: RNAcentral
GUGGGGAAUAUUGGACAAUGGGCGAAAGCCUGAUCCAGCCAUGCCGCGUGUGUGAAGAAGGUCUUCGGAUUGUAAAGCACUUUAAGUUGGGAGGAAGGGUAGUAACCUAAUACGUUGCUACUUUGACGUUACCGACAGAAUAAGCACCGGCUAACUUCGUGCCAGCAGCCGCGGUAAUACGAAGGGUGCAAGCGUUAAUCGGAAUUACUGGGCGUAAAGCGCGCGUAGGUGGUUUUGUAAGUUGGAGGUGAAAUCCCCGGGCUCAACCUGGGAACUGCCUCCAAAACUGCAUGACUAGAGUACGGUAGAGGGUAGUGGAAUUUCCUGUGUAGCGGUGAAAUGCGUAGAUAUAGGAAGGAACACCAGUGGCGAAGGCGACUACCUGGACUGAUACUGACACUGAGGUGCGAAAGCGUGGGGAGCAAACAGGAUUAGAUACCCUAGUAGUCC